Nomia melanderi (Alkali bee) is the source of this 327-nucleotide non-coding RNA. The record is from RefSeq and is a predicted model, not a curated record. Lineage: Eukaryota; Metazoa; Arthropoda; Insecta; Hymenoptera; Halictidae.
AGAAACAGCAAUAGGAUUAAUUCCUGAUGUUGGUGGAACAUAUUUCCUACCUAGAUUAAAAGGCAAAUUGGGUCUUUAUCUUGGACUAACCGGAGAACGAUUAAAAGGCAUUGAUGUAUUACUUGCGGGUAUUGCAACUCACUUUGUUCCUUCUGAGAAGUUAGGAGAUUUAAAACAAGAGUUACUAAUAACUGAGCCACCUGAUAUUACAAAAAUUUUAAAUAAGUAUCAACCUCAAAAUUUAAAUAACGAAUUUUCCCUAACACCGUAUUUAAAUCAAAUUGAUAAAUGUUUCUCUGCAUCUUCUGUGGAGGAAAUAAUAGAUAG